UCAAUAAAACUCUUAUAAUUUUUAUGAUGCAUUAAUAAGAUCUUUUGUUGCUUUCCAUGUUGUUGUAUCAUGUGAAGUCUUGCUUGAGAAUGCAUUAGAUACCUGAUUGUGGAAGAUAAAAAAAAAAUGCAAUAACAAGUUCUAACAAUUCUAAUAGAACUAUAUAUAAAUUGUAAUUAUAGUUUAAAAAAUCUAAUAAAAUAUUAAUAAGUCUAAUUAAAUUUUUUAAUAAAUUAUAAAAGAAAUAUUAAAAAAUCUUAAAUUAAUCCUAAUUGAAUCCUAAUCAAAUCAUAAAUAAAUUUUAAUCAAAUCUUAAACAAACCUUAAUCAAAUCUUAUACAAAUUUUAAUUAAAAAUUAAACAAAUUCUAAUCAAAGCCUAGACAAAUCCUAAACAAAUUCUAAUAAAAUCCUAGACAAGUCCUAAUUAAAACCUAACCAAAUCCUAAAUAAACCUUUGAAAAAUCCUAGAUAAAACUAAAUAAAUUUAAACAAAUCUCAUAUAAAUUCUAGACAAAUAUUAAACAAAUCUUAAACAAAUUCUAAUCAAAUCUUACGAAAAUCUUAAAUAAAUUUUAAUCAAACCUUAGAAAAAUCUUAAUCGACUCCUAAAAAAACUUA
Molecule: long non-coding RNA, 620 nt
Filed under: Physcomitrium patens
Lineage: Eukaryota; Viridiplantae; Streptophyta; Bryopsida; Funariales; Funariaceae
Description: long non-coding RNA (PPAT_LNC008925)
Source: RNAcentral